RNAcentral lists this ribosomal RNA (474 nucleotides) under uncultured organism. RNAcentral describes it as "partial 16S ribosomal RNA". It matches the Rfam family "Bacterial small subunit ribosomal RNA", at positions 335 to 800 of the family's 1533-position model. The record is from RNAcentral.
ACUCCUGCGGGAGGCAGCAGUGGGGAAUUUUGGACAAUGGGCGCAAGCCUGAUCCAGCCAUGCCGCGUGCGGGAAGAAGGCCUUCGGGUUGUAAACCGCUUUUGUCAGGGAAGAAAAGGUUCUGGCUAAUACCUGGGACUCAUGACGGUACCUGAAGAAUAAGCACCGGCUAACUACGUGCCAGCAGCCGCGGUAAUACGUAGGGUGCAAGCGUUAAUCGGAAUUACUGGGCGUAAAGCGUGCGCAGGCGGUUAUGCAAGACAGAGGUGAAAUCCCCGGGCUCAACCUGGGAACUGCCUUUGUGACUGCAUGGCUAGAGUACGGUAGAGGGGGAUGGAAUUCCGCGUGUAGCAGUGAAAUGCGUAGAAAUGCGGAGGAACACCGAUGGCGAAGGCAAUCCCCUGGACCUGUACUGACGCUCAUGCACGAAAGCGUGGGGAGCAAACAGGAUUAGAUACCCGUGUAGUCCCAUGA